This 1107-nucleotide ribosomal RNA is filed under the name Triticum aestivum (bread wheat). RNAcentral describes it as "partial small subunit ribosomal RNA". Lineage: Eukaryota; Viridiplantae; Streptophyta; Magnoliopsida; Poales; Poaceae. The record is from RNAcentral.
AUGAAAGAAAAGGGUCUGGAAAGAAAAAGAAGAACCAGAGGUCACGAUCCAAAAACCAAGGAGCUGUCAUGGCAGAUCAAACAAGCUGAGGAGAAGGGCUGGUCGGAGAACUACAGCUGCAACAGGAUGGAGGAGAGUUUAUCAGGAAACAUCAUCAGGGGGGUGUGCCAGCAGCAAAAAAAAGAAAAAGAAAUGAUUGAUCUCAAUGAGUUGCCUCAUGAACUUAAUGAGCUUCCUCAUGAUAUGGAUCAACAGCAACCCAGCGUUCCACCAGGAGGUAACGCUGAUUAUGGGACAGAAAAUGUGCGCUCUGUUGACUCCACACAGCCAACCCGUGGGCCUAACCCUAUGGGCCGUGACAAUGUGGCAGGGCAGUCAUCAACCCGUGGUGCCCCUGUAGUGGUGUCUUUGCAGUCAGAGAGCCAUACUCUUGAUGACACAGGCACCGUGGCAGAUGUUGCUGGUCCAACCAGGACUGGGCUAGGAGCGGGGGUUGUUGACGGUGCUGUGCAAGGAGAAGAAGGAGAGGAUGAGGCUGGGUCUCAGCCCAUGGAACCCUAUGUUGGCAUGAGGUUUGAUAGCCUUCAAGUUGCUAAGGAUCAUUACAACAACUACGCCCUACGAAUGGGUUUCUCUGUCAAGAUGAACACCUCUAGGCGGACACCUCACACUAAUGUGUUGGUAAAACAACAGUUUUGUUGCAACAAGUACAAGAAGCCCAAAGCUAAUGAUGGAGGAGCGGAGGCUGCUCCUGUCCUGGACCCUAUACCAGAUCCAAUCGCUGUGGACGGUGAUGAGGAAAUGGAAGAUGAACCUCCAAUCUUUGCUAAAGAGGAGGCUGGUCCUAGUAAGAAAAAGAAGAAACGGAAACGCGAGACAAUAAAACAGACUCAAUGCAAGGCAAAAAUGUUGGUGAAGUUGAUAGAUGGGCGAUGGGAGGUGAUACACUUUGUUCGUGACCACAAUCAUCCGCUGGUGAACAAACCUUCGUUGACCAAAUACUUGAGAUCCCACCAAGGCAUUUCUCCGGAUGAAAAGGACUUUUUGCGCAUCUUGUAUAACUGCAACUUGACUAUAGGUGUGUUUCUAUAUCCCUUACAGUAUUAA